UGGGGAAUAUUGGGCAAUGGGCGAAAGCCUGACCCAGCAACGCCGCGUGAAGUAUGAAGGCCUUCGGGUUGUAAACUUCUUUGAUCAGGGAAGAAACAAAUGACGGUACCUGAAAAACAAGCCACGGCUAACUACGUGCCGGCAGCCGCGGUAAUACGUAGGUGGCGAGCGUUAUCCGGAUUUACUGGGUGUAAAGGGCGUGCAGGCGGGCUGAUAAGUCAGAUGUGAAAUCCCCGAGCUUAACUCGGGAACUGCAUCUGAUACUGUUGGUCUUGAGUGCUGGAGAGGAUAGUGGAAUUCCUAGUGUAGCGGUAAAAUGCGCAGAUAUUAGGAGGAACACCAGUGGCGAAGGCGGCUAUCUGGACAGUAACUGACGCUGAGGCGCGAAAGCGUGGGUAGCAAACAGG
RNAcentral lists this ribosomal RNA (407 nucleotides) under Verrucomicrobiota bacterium. Its description in RNAcentral is "Verrucomicrobia bacterium partial 16S ribosomal RNA". It matches the Rfam family "Bacterial small subunit ribosomal RNA", at positions 355 to 776 of the family's 1533-position model. Lineage: Bacteria; Pseudomonadati; Verrucomicrobiota. The record is from RNAcentral.